This 508-nucleotide ribosomal RNA is filed under the name uncultured bacterium. RNAcentral describes it as "bacterial SSU rRNA". It matches the Rfam family "Bacterial small subunit ribosomal RNA", at positions 791 to 1304 of the family's 1533-position model. The record is from RNAcentral.
UAGUCCACGCCCUAAACGAUGCUAACUCGAUAUUUGGAUCUUGAAUCUGAGUGUCUAAGCGAAAGCGAUAAGUUAGCCACCUGGGAAGUACGUUCGCAAGAAUGAAACUCAAAGGAAUUGACGGGGGCCCGCACAAGCGGUGGAGCAUGUGGUUUAAUUCGAUGAUACGCGAGGAACCUUACCAGGGCUUAAAUGUAGUGGGACAGGUGUGGAAACACGCCCUUCUUCGGACUCAUUACAAGGUGCUGCAUGGUUGUCGUCAGCUCGUGCCGUGAGGUGUCAGGUUAAGUCCUAUAACGAGCGCAACCCCUGUUGUUAGUUGCCAGCGAGUCAUGUCGGGAACUCUAACAAGACUGCCAGUGCAAACUGUGAGGAAGGUGGGGAUGACGUCAAAUCAUCACGGCCCUUACGUCCUGGGCUACACACGUGCUACAAUGGCCGGUACAGAGGGCAGCCACACCGCGAGGUGGAGCGAAUCCUUAAAACCGGUCUCAGUUCGGAUCGGAGU